RNAcentral lists this ribosomal RNA (86 nucleotides) under uncultured bacterium. Its description in RNAcentral is "partial 16S ribosomal RNA". The record is from RNAcentral.
UCAUGAAAGCCGGUUGUACCCGAAGUCACCCGCGUUAACUCUGCAAAGAGAGACAGGUGCCGAAGGUAUGGCUGGUGAUUGGGAUG